UACGUAGGGGGCAAGCGUUGUCCGGAAUCAUUGGGCGUAAAGAGCGUGUAGGCGGUCUUAUAAGUCGGCUGUGAAAGUCAAGGGCUCAACCCUUGAAUGCCGGCCGAUACUGUGAGGCUAGAGUCCGGAAGAGGCGAGUGGAAUUCCUGGUGUAGCGGUGAAAUGCGCAGAUAUCAGGAGGAACACCGAUGGCGAAGGCAGCUCGCUGGGACGGUACUGACGCUGAGACGCGAAAGCGUGGGGAGCGAACAGG
Molecule: ribosomal RNA, 253 nt
Filed under: uncultured bacterium
Lineage: Bacteria
Description: partial 16S ribosomal RNA
Rfam family: Bacterial small subunit ribosomal RNA
Source: RNAcentral